RNAcentral lists this ribosomal RNA (695 nucleotides) under uncultured bacterium. RNAcentral's name for it is "bacterial SSU rRNA". It matches the Rfam family "Bacterial small subunit ribosomal RNA", at positions 141 to 851 of the family's 1533-position model. The record is from RNAcentral.
GGACAACAGUUGGAAACGACUGCUAAUACCGCAUAAGCCCACGAUCCGGCAUCGGAUCUGAGGGAAAAGGAUUUAUUCGCUUCAGGAUGGACUCGCGUCCAAUUAGCUAGUUGGUGAGGUAACGGCCCACCAAGGCGACGAUUGGUAGCCGGACUGAGAGGUUGAACGGCCACAUUGGGACUGAGACACGGCCCAGACUCCUACGGGAGGCAGCAGUGGGGGAUAUUGCACAAUGGGGGAAACCCUGAUGCAGCGACGCCGCGUGGAGGAAGAAGGUUUUCGGAUUGUAAACUCCUGUCGUUAGGGACGAUAAUGACGGUACCUAACAAGAAAGCACCGGCUAACUACGUGCCAGCAGCCGCGGUAAAACGUAGGGUGCAAGCGUUGUCCGGAAUUACUGGGUGUAAAGGGAGCGCAGGCGGACCGGCAAGUUGGAAGUGAAAACUAUGGGCUCAACCCAUAAAUUGCUUUCAAAACUGCUGGCCUUGAGUAGUGCAGAGGUAGGUGGAAUUCCCGGUGUAGCGGUGGAAUGCGUAGAUAUCGGGAGGAACACCAGUGGCGAAGGCGACCUACUGGGCACCAACUGACGCUGAGGCUCGAAAGCAUGGGUAGCAAACAGGAUUAGAUACCCUGGUAGUCCAUGCCGUAAACGAUGAUUACUAGGUGUUGGAGGAUUGACCCCUUCAGUGCCGCAG